AUUCACACGUGCAUAUGGUAAAUGACGAGUGACUGAGGGGGAAAGGUACAACUGAAAAAAGUGAGGAAAAUGAAGAAAUUUCAUUCACACAAGUCAGUGAAUCCUGGGAAAUAACAAGAAUAUUCUCCUGCAUUCUUUCAUCUGUCCACCAGAUGUCCUUGGACUUUUUACAAAUAUGUUAUUCUCUUUUACCAAUGGCAUCACUUCCUGUUUGAGUACAUAGAGGUCAAAUGUCCUGCUCAAAUGUUUGGUGUGGAAGUGUCACUCUUGGAGACACUUCAGCUAACCAAGCCAGAGAGAUUCAAUGAGUUCUUCUAAUCAACCGCCAGGAAAUCUCAGGAGCCAGUGAUUUGAAGGUAACUUUAUCUGAUGUCAGAAGACCUGUUGACAGUGAAAUGCAUGUGUAACCGACUGGAGGCCUACUAUAAUGUCCACAGGACUGAGAAACACAACAAGGACAUGCAUACAGUCUCCGAAUGUUUCUGCAGAUUGUUAGGAGUAACCAGCAGCAUGUGGAAAAGUUGUGGUGAAAGACGGACAGAAAUGUGGUCAAGCAUCUUCAAUAGCCCGGGCCCCUAAUCAGUUGUUGAGAUGGGCCAAGAGCCUGUCAUCUCUAGGGGGUCCCAAACGUUCUUUAACGCCCAGAUCUGUCACACAGCUGUCACUGUCCUUAAAAGUUGGACGGCAUCUCACACACUGGAUCUGUGUCCGAUGAGAUCAGUUAUCAGCCCCUCCUGCAGGACAUCACCGACGUCAGUGUCAGGUUCCCCUUUCAGCAGUACACUACACAUGAAUGGAGGGACAAUCAAAGGCGAGUCCUCAACAUUGGGGGAGACUGUCCCAGAGUUAACCCUUGCUUGUUCUGCUCUUAAGAGUCUUGAACGCUUGGGACCCUCACAGUGAGCAAGUGUCCAAUUUCUGCGCUGGUUUAGCCUCUGAACUGUGAGGAUGGAUGGAAGGGCAGCUAAGCCUUUUUAUGAAGACCUCCAGGGACGAGCAGCCCUGAAGCUGAAUGGACUCAGGAGAUUCUUAAUUACAUUUCAUGGCUGUUCGGAGUUUGUCUUUGUUGUCUGGUUGUCCCCAAUGUUGCCUGUGUGGGAAUUCCCAACAGCAAACUGUAAAAAGCUGCACAGCAUUAUUUGACAUGGACAGAUGACAGUUGAGUAUGAUGUUGGAAAACCCUUUUUACAAAUAUUUACAAAUUAUAACUUUUUUUAAUAGGAAAAAACACUUAUUUGUAUUUGUACUCAUUGACAUUUUCAACCGAAACUCAAUCUUAUGAAAACCCAGUUUUUUUAAUUUAACUGUAUUUGAAAUUCUAUCUGGUAUUUGAUGACAAUAUGCAUUGUGCAGAAUGUUCCAUUGUGAAGCUAGAAUAUCAUCACUAGCUCCUGCUGCCAAGGCUGUGGUGCCACACUUGAUCGUCAGCCCUCAUCACCGCCUCAGCAGGGUGUUUCUCACCAAGUACAACAUUAUUAACAUGUUUUGAUCCCACUGUGGCUCAGUGGUAAGGAUGUGUAUUUUGAAUAUCAUUCCAAUUAGCAUCAAAGUAUACUACAGAAUCUUUGGAGCUGACAACUCGCAGCACAGGCCAGCAUCAAAUUAUGGGAGACAGAAACAACAAGAUGGCAAAACCAGAACAGUUGCCUUGUUUGAAUUGGAAAGUUUGUCCCUCAGUGAGACCAAGACCUUUAAGCAAUUCUGACAAAUCCCACCUCUGGUCUGCCGCAGAUGGCACAGCAAUCCACCCAGGCUGUGAAUGAAUGAAAGAGUAGGUGUUGAGCUCUAAUUUCCCAACGUCUGCUACUAGCUAGAGCCAAACCAGGCAUCAAAGCCUGCUCCCAGAAUUAGCCACACUUUAAUAGUGGCUAUUAAAAAUGUGAGGUCACAAAUUAGACCAAUGUUUGGGUUUAAUAAGCUUAACUACUGGAAUAACACUUCAUUAACUUCAUUCACUUUAAACCAAUGAGCAGCUUCAUCAUUCAGAUGAAUAUUCCCCCGCCAGCAGUCAUGUUAGACAAAUCCGUGCACUCAGCAAAGGGAGCAGAUACUGAUGGCCUUGUUUGGUGGUGUUUAAUGACUUACACGAUGAUUGGUCUGUUCUCCUGGAGCCGCUGAUCCACUUUGCUGUGUUCCGCUUCAGCUAGUAGAUCUCGCCGUGCUGUGGAUCUUCAGGUUUUUCCGAGUCCUUUCCUCAUAUGUUAAGUGCACAGGAAGCAGUGAUAUAAUUCAUACGUCAUUUUACAGCCCGUCUCAUAAGAUCAGGACGACUCUGAAUUUAUGACGAGCCAUUAUUCUUAUUAGGCUUGUAAAAGAAGGCAUUAGCCCACAGCAAGCAUUAGUAAAAUUCACUUUGCCUAACAAGGGGGCAGGACAGGGGUGAGAGAACAGUUAAAUUCAAUCAGCACUCUACAAGGUGAUGGCGCUGUGCCCGGUUUUCAUAGCUGCGAAACAUUCAACAAUGAUAAAUGUGACUAAUUGUAUGAGCUCCAGGGACGGAGCGCAGAUCUCUGAGGGUGAAAUUUCAUUGGGAUACGGAUCCCUGCAUUUUAAUGUGAUGUUUGAUUUGGACAGUAUGGACAGCUGAUUGCGUGCAAGAGAAGACAAGCAUUGACUCAUCACCAUGCAUCAAAUUCACCUCAAGCCCCUUCCACCCAUGAGAUAAUGAUGCACAGCCAAAUUAAAUAAACAAAGUGCAGGAGCUGUGAUCCUCCAGUCCAGGGCCCCACGCGGAUCCUGAUUCUGCACGGCAGCUUAAGGAAAUCCGGCCAUCCCAGUGUGUGUCCGAUUGGUCACAGAGGACCGUGUUGGGCUGGGGAGCACAGGCCCUGGUAUCUUUGAUUUUCACUUUAUACGACAUGGUUCUCACAUGACUAGAUAACACUGUAGCUCCAGGCAGACAGCUGUGUCUGGCCUGGGGUGUAAGGCAGAGGGAUAAACAGGUGGAGGAAGGAACCGGACUGGAAAAGGUCUAGUGGUAGCCGCUCCACUUUAACUGUUGGAGGGAGAGCUCCUCAGGCGUUGAAAGUAAAAUGGUGAAAAAGUUGCCCUUAUUAAUAGUGGACAAUUUUAUAGUUCAUAACUGCUGUGAAAGGGUUCACAUUUAGCACAGAGUUAGUGGUGUUCUUUGAUAAUUUGCUUUCAUUUUCCUCUCCUCACCUUUCCUGUGGCUUUAUGCAAAACAUGUAUGUCAAACAUGAGGCCCAGGGGCAGAUCACGUUCAUCUGGGACAAACAUUUGGCCCUGAGGAAGUUUUUACUCAAAAAAAAAAUCUAGAGAGAUUAGUUUUCUGGUUGCAACUAUGCCACUUUUAGUGACUUCACAUCCACAUUAGUGAGAUAAAGUGUCCAUGAUGUCAUUACCUGUCAGUCCUGGUCCCUGUUCAGUCAGUAUUUACUGUUGUCUGUGUCAGUACUUAGAGCCCUGCUUCCUCUUCAACCAGCACCAAAAUCACAUAAUUCCCCUUAAUUACCAGUUUUCUGUGUAACAACUGUCUGGCCUCCAGACCAGAGUUACUAAAUUCACAAUGACUGCAACUAUCAACUGCAUCACUUCCUCCAUAAGUGAAUGUUGUCAGUUCAUUUACACUGUUGUGGUGGAAACUAUCUUUUAAAUCCCCAAGGGAGCAAACACGAUUAAGGAAUAUGGAUUUCAUCUCCUCUCGCCUUGUCGUCGACUCCUCCACCAACCAAAUUAACAUCUGUCGUUGUUUCCCUCCAGUUUCCCUGUGACUUAAAGAUGUUGUGAAAUAUUCAAGGGGAGCGUUUCAAGCGUUGAUGAUGUAAAUAUUUUGCAAAAAAAUGCAAAAUUAAAGCAAAACUGACGCUGAGAUUUGAUGUGUUUUCCCACUGACACUUUCUUAUGGCUGUGUGGUUAGACAUUAGUUCAUCAUCUCCAGCGGGCACCAACCCUGGAUCUCUUCAUUGAUCCCACACAAAACAAAUGGCAAUCUCCGACCGCGGGACACAAUGCUUCAUCCUGCCCAGUCCAUUAACCCCUAUCACAGAGCUCCCACACUGAAGAUGGAAUGCGCCGACGCCCCACUGUUAGAUGGAUCGGCAGGAGAGGGAGAGAUAGAGAGCGAGGGAAAGGUGGUGCUGUGGUGGAGAAUCGGAUACAGGAAGAAGGAGGGAGAUGGGAGCCGCAGAUGGAGGGAGAAUGAAAUAUGGCCAAGACAGAAGUAAAGAAUGAAAGUGUCAUAAUGAUCAGUUUAUGAUGAGUUGUUUUCCAGGUGCCAUCAAAUGAAGUGUGUUGUGUUUCACAUAAUGAUGUCUGAGCCAGGAGAAGUCAGCUGCUGAUGAAAGUCACAGUCCUUUUCUACGCCACCCAGUGUUGGCUUUUAUGUUAGCUGUAAAGUUGAUCAUUACAGCAAACAGCAGCUGUGCUGCGACUUCCUGAUGUCUAACAUGUGACCUGCGGAAUGGGAAUCACAUCCAGGAUGGGAAUAACCACUUCCUAAUAAGUAUUUACUUUUAAAAAUUGCAAAAUAAUAAACAAAAUAUAGGAUUAUCCAUUUCAAAAUC
Cynoglossus semilaevis (tongue sole) is the source of this 4523-nucleotide long non-coding RNA. RefSeq lists it as uncharacterized. The transcript is spliced from 3 exons. The record is from RefSeq and is a predicted model, not a curated record. Lineage: Eukaryota; Metazoa; Chordata; Actinopteri; Pleuronectiformes; Cynoglossidae.